RNAcentral lists this ribosomal RNA (251 nucleotides) under uncultured prokaryote. RNAcentral's name for it is "partial 16S rRNA". It matches the Rfam family "Bacterial small subunit ribosomal RNA", at positions 525 to 775 of the family's 1533-position model. The record is from RNAcentral.
ACGGAGGGUGCAAGCGUUGUCCGGAAUAAUUGGGCGUAAAGCGUUCGUAGGCGGCAUACCAAGUCUGGUGUUAAAGCCCGAGGCUCAACCUCGGUACGGCACUGGAUACUGGUAAGCUAGAAUACGGGAGAGGUGAAGGGAAUUCCUGGUGUAGCGGUGAAAUGCGUAGAUAUUAGGAGGAACAUCGGUGGCGAAGGCGGCUCACUGGGCCGUUAUUGACGCUGAGGAACGAAAGCGGGGGGAGCAAAGGG